RNAcentral lists this ribosomal RNA (1223 nucleotides) under Escherichia coli. Its description in RNAcentral is "bacterial SSU rRNA". It matches the Rfam family "Bacterial small subunit ribosomal RNA", at positions 74 to 1290 of the family's 1533-position model. Lineage: Bacteria; Pseudomonadati; Pseudomonadota; Gammaproteobacteria; Enterobacterales; Enterobacteriaceae. RNAcentral also lists the same sequence under 1 other name. The record is from RNAcentral.
AGAAACUGCUUCUUUGCUGAGAGUGGCGGAGGGUGAGUAAUGUCUGGGAAACUGCCUGCAUGGAGGGGGGAUAACUACUGGAAACGGUAGCUAAUACCGCAUAACGUCGCAAGACCAAAGAGGGGGACCUUCGGGCCUCUUGCCAUCGGAUGUGCCCAGAUGGGAUUAGCUAGUAGGUGGGGUAACGGCUCACCUAGGCGACGAUCCCUAGCUGGUCUGAGAGGAUGACCAGCCACACUGGAACUGAGACACGGUCCAGACUCCUACGGGAGGCAGCAGUGGGGAAUAUUGCACAAUGGGCGCAAGCCUGAUGCAGCCAUGCCGCGUGUAUGAAGAAGGCCUUCGGGUUGUAAAGUACUUUCAGCGGGGAGGAAGGGAGUAAAGUUAAUACCUUUGCUCAUUGACGUUACCCGCAGAAGAAGCACCGGCUAACUCCGUGCCAGCAGCCGCGGUAAUACGGAGGGGUGCAAGCGUUAAUCGGAAUUACUGGGCGUAAAGCGCACGCAGGCGGUUUGUUAAGUCAGAUGUGAAAUCCCCGGGCUCAACCUGGGAACUGCAUCUGAUACUGGCAAGCUUGAGUCUCGUAGAGGGGGGUAGAAUUCCAGGUGUAGCGGUGAAAUGCGUAGAGAUCUGGAGGAAUACCGGUGGCGAAGGCGGCCCCCUGGACGAAGACUGACGCUCAGGUGCGAAAGCGUGGGGAGCAAACAGGAUUAGAUACCCUGGUAGUCCACGCCGUAAACGAUGUCGACUUGGAGGUUGUGCCCUUGAGGCGUGGCUUCCGGAGCUAACGCGUUAAGUCGACCGCCUGGGGAGUACGGCCGCAAGGUUAAAACUCAAAUGAAUUGACGGGGGCCCGCACAAGCGGUGGAGCAUGUGGUUUAAUUCGAUGCAACGCGAAGAACCUUACCUGGUCUUGACAUCCACGGAAGUUUUCAGAGAUGAGAAUGUGCCUUCGGGAACCGUGAGACAGGUGCUGCAUGGCUGUCGUCAGCUCGUGUUGUGAAAUGUUGGGUUAAGUCCCGCAACGAGCGCAACCCUUAUCCUUUGUUGCCAGCGGUCCGGCCGGGAACUCAAAGGAGACUGCCAGUGAUAAACUGGAGGAAGGUGGGGAUGACGUCAAGUCAUCAUGGCCCUUACGACCAGGGCUACACACGUGCUACAAUGGCGCAUACAAAGAGAAGCGACCUCGCGAGAGCAAAGCGGACCUCAUAAAGUGCGUCGUA